GAAAGGUUUAAUAAGAUACUGCUAAUCUCUUAAUACCAAAGUUCAAUACUUUGGCAGGUUCG
Molecule: transfer RNA, 62 nt
Filed under: Boulenophrys sangzhiensis
Lineage: Eukaryota; Metazoa; Chordata; Amphibia; Anura; Megophryidae
Also listed under: 1 other name
Description: tRNA-Ser
Source: RNAcentral